RNAcentral lists this long non-coding RNA (223 nucleotides) under Mus spicilegus (steppe mouse). RNAcentral's name for it is "lncRNA (ENSMSIG00000023223.1)". Lineage: Eukaryota; Metazoa; Chordata; Mammalia; Rodentia; Muridae. The record is from RNAcentral.
UUCAGAGUCCUGGUGUCUCCCAGAUCCUAGGAUAAUAUCUGAAGGGAUUGGAGAUCAGCCAGAUCAGUUGUGUGCACAAAGAUACCUUGGAUCUGUCUUUUAAAUCAGCAAUUCCAUCCACAGAAUGGUACAGCAAGGUUGAAGCAUCAUUCCAUCUGGUAAGUGAAAGAUACUUUUUAUUUCUCUUCCAUGGUAAGAAUUAGAUAAGAGGUCCUUUCAGACA